This 29-nucleotide non-coding RNA is filed under the name Rattus norvegicus (Norway rat). Lineage: Eukaryota; Metazoa; Chordata; Mammalia; Rodentia; Muridae. The record is from RNAcentral.
GAGGCAUCCAGAUACCCAGGACGGACUUC